AGUGAACGCUGGCGGUAGGCCUAACACAUGCAAGUCGAACGGCAGCACAGUAAGAGCUUGCUCUUACGGGUGGCGAGUGGCGGACGGGUGAGGAAUACAUCGGAAUCUACUUUUUCGUGGGGGAUAACGUAGGGAAACUUACGCUAAUACCGCAUACGACCUACGGGUGAAAGCAGGGGAUCUUCGGACCUUGCGCGAUUGAAUGAGCCGAUGUCGGAUUAGCUAGUUGGCGGGGUAAAGGCCCACCAAGGCGACGAUCCGUAGCUGGUCUGAGAGGAUGAUCAGCCACACUGGAACUGAGACACGGUCCAGACUCCGACGGGAGGCAGCAGUGGGGAAUAUUGGACAAUGGGCGCAAGCCUGAUCCAGCCAUACCGCGUGGGUGAAGAAGGCCUUCGGGUUGUAAAGCCCUUUUGUUGGGAAAGAAAAGCAGCAGGUUAAUACCCCGCUGUUCUGACGGUACCCAAAGAAUAAACACCGGCGAACUUCGU
RNAcentral lists this ribosomal RNA (491 nucleotides) under uncultured bacterium. RNAcentral's name for it is "partial 16S ribosomal RNA". It matches the Rfam family "Bacterial small subunit ribosomal RNA", at positions 29 to 506 of the family's 1533-position model. The record is from RNAcentral.